GAUGAACGCUGGCGGCGUGCCUAACACAUGCAAGUCGAACGGAAAGGCGCUGCUUUUGUGUGGUUCUCGAGUGGGGAGCGGGUGAGUGACACGUGUGUAACCUGCCCUUGACUUUCGGGGAACAUCAGGUAAAUGGGGCUAAUACCGGAUAGGAUCUUCUGCAGCACGGAGGGGGGUGGAAAGUUUCGGCGGUCGUGGAUGGUCUCGCGGCUUAUCAGCUUGUUGGUGGGGUAGGUGAUGACCAAGUAUUGGACGGAUAGGCGGCCUGAGAGCGUGAACGGGGACCUUGGGCCUGCGGUACGGCCCAGACUCCUACGUGAGGCAGCGGUCGGGAACAUGACACAGUGGGCGGGCGCCUGAUACGGAAGCGCCGGGUGCGUGAUGACGGCUUACGGGUUGUGAACCGCUUUCGCUUGAGACGAAGCGUGAGUGACGGUAAUGGGUAAAGAAGCACCGGCUAACUACGUG
This 468-nucleotide ribosomal RNA is filed under the name uncultured bacterium. RNAcentral describes it as "partial 16S ribosomal RNA". It matches the Rfam family "Bacterial small subunit ribosomal RNA", at positions 28 to 507 of the family's 1533-position model. The record is from RNAcentral.